This 460-nucleotide ribosomal RNA is filed under the name uncultured bacterium. RNAcentral describes it as "partial 16S ribosomal RNA". It matches the Rfam family "Bacterial small subunit ribosomal RNA", at positions 338 to 795 of the family's 1533-position model. The record is from RNAcentral.
CCUACGGGAGGCAGCAGUGAGGAAUAUUGGUCAAUGGACGAGAGUCUGAACCAGCCAUGCAGCGUGAAGGAUGACUGCCCUAUGAGUUGUAAACUUCUUUUAUACAAGAAUAAUACUACUCACGUGUACGUUUUUGAAUGUACUUUACGAAUAAGGAUCGGCUAACUCCGUGCCAGCAGCCGCGGUAAUACGGAGGAUCCGAGCGUUAUCCGGAUUUAUUGGGUUUAAAGGGUGCGUAGAUGGGUUGUUAAGUUAGAUGUGAAAGUUUGGGGCUCAACCUGGUAAUUGCAAUUGAUACUGGCAGACUAGAGAACAGAUGAAGUAGGCGGAAUUAGUGGUGUAGCGGUGAAAUGCUUAGAUAUGACGAAGAAACCCGAUUGCGAAGGCAGCUUACUAAUCUGCAACUGACGCUGAUGCACGAAAGUGUGGGUAGCGAACAGGAUUAGAUACCCGAGUAGUC